RNAcentral lists this long non-coding RNA (13512 nucleotides) under Sarcophilus harrisii (Tasmanian devil). RNAcentral describes it as "lncRNA (ENSSHAG00000021126.1)". Lineage: Eukaryota; Metazoa; Chordata; Mammalia; Dasyuromorphia; Dasyuridae. The record is from RNAcentral.
CAUUUAUUGAGUACAUACGAUUUACAAGUUAUGCAUAGCCAUUGCCUACCUUAUGUUUACAAUCUAGUUGGGAAAAUGGGAUAUACACACAAAAUAACAUUAGUAGAUAAUAAGAAAGCACUAUAUACUAAUACAAUAAAGUGCUAAAUUAUAUAAUAAAAGCAACUAGAAAAUAACAAUGUCAUAGUAACAAUAAUAGCAUGAAUACAAUGUUUUAUAGUAUAUGAAGCUUUUCCUUCUCUCAAAAUAAUGCUAUAAGAUACAACAGGAUAAUAUAUAAUAAGGUGCUAAUCGUGCAGUACAGGCAUCCUAACAUGAUGUUAGAGAUGCAUCAACAAGGAAACAAUUCUACUCAAAUCAAAAAUUAAACAUUGAUUAAGCAAUAUAGUAGCAUUUAUAUAGCAGAACAAUUUGCUUGGUAGAUUAGACAGAUAGUUCUUUGCCCUCAAGAAGUUUACAAUAAAGAUAUGAUACAAAUGCAAAUAACUAUGAUUUUUUAAAAAGACAGCAAGAAUUGUGAAAGAAGUGAAAACAAAGUGCCAUGUGAGGUACUACGAGGGAAAGAUGUUUUCUCUCAAUUUAACAAACACUGAUUAAGCACCUACUCUGUGCAAUUUAUUAAAUGCCUACUAUGUGCAAUAUUUGAAAGCACCUACUCCGUGCAAUGUUUAUUAUUAAGUACCUACUAUGUGCAAACCAUUAAGCGCAUACUACAUUGCCACAUGCAAAAGCUAGAAAGGAAGGCUUUCUCAACUAUAUUCCAUAUUGAUUAGGCCUUAUUCAGAGGUGAAAAAUUACUUUUUUUGUGUGGGCCUUUAUUUUGAAGAAGCAUGAGAACAUGAGAACAGCACCGGGUUUGUUUGUUUGUUUGUUUUAAAAGAUGAUGGGCCUUGUUUAGUCUGGAGAAGAAAAUGCUGAGGAAUAAUUUGUUCUUGAAAUUGAAAUUUAGGAAGAUGUAUUUCACAAAUCUACAUCUCCAUUUUGAAGAAGAAUAUGAAGGGAACUGGUUUGAGGAUAUUUAGAACAAAAAACAAUGUUAUCAACAAUUAAGUUUGUAAAACAUUGUGAAAAAAGUUUUUCCGAGAGGUUAUAAGGCCUCUUGCCCAAUAAGAUGAAAAAGGACUGGGAUGGUUUAGAUGCUGUCUUCUCCUGAAGUAGGACUAUUUAACAUAGCUGAGCUCAUAGAACUUAGAUCUCGGGAAACUUCAGUUGAACAUUGACAUGCCAAAGUCUCCCAAUUCCAUUUUUCUAGGCUCCCAAUGAAAUGAAUAGUCCCAAAGCAUUCGUUUAUGCCAGUCCAACAAAAUUUUGGAAUUCUCAACACUUGAAUUUUGUCAUCUGUAAAAUGGGGGAGUAUCAAAAAUAAUUCCUGUUAAAUUGAAUUAGGUGAGGUAAAUAUACUUUGUAGCAAAGAAAUGGAAACAACCCACCCAUGCUCGUGAAUCUAAAAAUAUGGCAAAACAAAUCAGUGUUAAUACUAUGCUAAUAAAAUUGAACUAAAACAAAGGUUGCAUUGUGUUGAAAUAAAAGAUGUAUUAUAUCCGGGGAAAAAAUGACUAUAAAGAUGAACACCAUUUAAAGAUUUAUAUGAGAUAAAUACAGGUGAAUUUAGCAGAAGUUUGGGGAAAUGAAAAGAUGGGAGGAAAAAAACAAAAGAUAAACCUGAAUUAAGAUAAUUGAAAACAACAAAAACAAUUCUAGAGGUGAAAGAAUGAAAUAUGCCUCCAAUAUUGUCAUAAGAGAAUGAGGAACUUGUGAGGCUAUUGGAAUUACUGUAACAUUUGAAACAGAUUGUACAAUUUUAACUACUAUUACUACAAAUCAGAUAUUUUUUAUUACUCAAAAAGGAAAAUGAAAAAGAAAAUAGAUAAAUAUUUGAACUAUUCAAAAUUGCUUUUCUUUUCUUUUUUCUUUUUCUUUUUUUUGGAAACAAAGCGGUUUUAAUCACUUGCCCACAGUCACAGAUCUGGUAAGAUCAGCCACAUUGGGACACAGAUUCUCCCGAGUCCUAGGGACUGGUUCUAUGCCAAAACAAUGCAAAUUUUAAAAAAUAUUUGUUAAGCAUUUAUCAUCAACCUGAUCAUUUUAACCAAUGAGUAAGGCAGUGACAUAAAAUUAGAAAGUUAACAGCUUAUUAUAUUUAAGUAUGAAAAGGCAUGGUUCAAUGGGACUAAAAGAAAAAGGCCAAAUUAUAAGAAUGAGAUAAUAGAUAAAUGCCAGAAACUUCAAACAACAAUCAAAAUUAAUGAAGAAAAAAGAGUAAUUAAAGGAAGUAACAUUUAGUGGAAAAUAUCAUAAUGAAAAAUUAAUUCAUAACCUUAAAAAGAUAGGCAACACAAAAAUUUGCUUGAAAAAUGAAGUUGCAAUGAAAGAACUUAGGUAACAGUGAGUUUCCUUCUUAAAGGGUAUCAGGAAAGAGCAACUUCCAUUAGCCUUCAACCCAGUGCUCCUUCACCCUUGCCCUGAGUAAAAAGGAUGCCCUGAGUAACCAACUAUUGGAAAGAAAUCAGGAAUCCUGCCACUGGGAAAUGGCUGACCAAUCUAUAGCCAUACACUGCUGAAAUAGAAAACAUGUCUCCAACACUGGGCUGCAAGGUGAGACAUUACGGGUACAUGGUGGUAUUUAUCCUGUCAGACAGGGUUCCCUUUUCAAUGACUAUUGGAAGAGUGAAUUUCCUUUGCUAUGGGGCUAGGUCAAGAAAUAUCACACAUGGGGCAGAGAACCCUGUAGAGUCCUUGAUGAUAAUGGCAUGGAAGCCCCAUGUAACAGAGAAGUGGGUACAAAUCUGAGGGCCCUAUAGGUGAAGAAUGGCUGACAAGACUUUAUCUCUGCUCUGAGUAUUAUGUGAUUGGAGCAAAAGAGCAACAAGACUAUUGCAUGAGGUAUUGGAGUAUGCAAGAGGAUAGUGAGAUAGCUGAUUAGCAAGUAUCCCUGCUGCUCCAGGUGGGCAGAGAGGUUUACAGGUACAAUGUGGCACCUUCCCCAGCAAUGAAAGGUGGUUUGUGGUUGCAGUGAGUCUACUUGGCUACAGGGUCCCAAAAAGGAACAAUAUCCAUUGGCCUGCAAUACAAUGCUCCUUCAGCUUUGCCCUUGGUGGAAAGAAUGCUCUGAUUGGCCAAGUAUUAGAAAGAAACCAGGGGCCCUGCCUCUGGGAAGUGGCUGUCAACCUACAGCCAUAUAAAACUGAAAUCCUGGCCACUGACCAAUAGAAAGGAAAGACCUGCCCUCUGACUGAAUAUCAAGACCCUCCUUGGUCUCAGAGAGCAAGAUAGCUUGUUGGGCCCCAUCUCUGGGGUCAGAGUGGGGCCCUCUGGGUGAACUGCUGCUUCCCCUGGCAGACCAGGGCAGCAUGGAACUGACUGGUGACCCAACGUCUGGUUUUUUACUGUGGAGCAAAUGCCAGGAGGACUGACAUGAAGCUGGGGUAUGAUGCUCAUUCUAACUUGGUCCCACUGUAAGGCCAGUUCUUACUAGCAAUGGCAAACAAACAGGGACAACCUUCCUAUGGAGAAUAGCAGAUGAAUCCUUAAUCAUACACUGGCAGAAGGCUUGGAAUAGAAAUGCUGAGAAAAGUCUUUUCCUCUAAGUAGAAAUCAUGACCCUGUUUGGUCUCCAGAGAAUAAGUGAGUUUGCAAACCUCAGUGCUUAGGGGUGAGUAUCUAUGAAUGAAAAGGGAUAACUCCCAAGGCAGAGAGGCUCCCAUUUGAACUGGCUCUGCAUUAAGUGAUUUUAAGAUCUAGAAGGCCUAGGAAAGGAGCAAAAGAGGUGGGGGUGGUAUUCCAUAUACAUUAAACCUGAAAGCCAGUAGACUAGAAGCCCUUCCUGCCAGAGAAUGGGUAGGAAAUAGAAACAAGGCCUUUAUCUGUGAUUGGAAGGGCUAACAAAUGAGGGUCUAUGCAGUGGAUUUUGUUUCUCUCUCACUGUGUCUCUUCAAGCUCCAUAGCUGUACCCCUGGGCUGUGAGGUGAGGCACUACGGUGCAUGAUGGAGUUUACCCUGGAACACAGGGUUACCUUGUUGGAUGGCUGUGGAAAUAGUGAAUUUUCUUUGCCAUGGGACUGUCACCGACAAUAUUCCACAUGGCCAAGGAAACCAUAUGGAAUUCCCCUUGAUUAUGGUGGCAUGUAAGCCCCAUAUUACAAAGAAGUGGCUACAAACUGGGGACCCUACAGGAGAAAAAUAAAUGAGAAACCUUUAUCAGUACACUGAGGGACAGAGUAGGAGGCCAAUGAACAGUUUAAGAAAGCCUGCACAGAAAUUAAAAUGGAGAAGAGGAUAUUAGAAAAGGGGGCAAAAGUCAAGUCCCCAUACCUGGGCUAUGAGGUGAGGCAGUCUGGUGUAUCAUAGUAUUUACCCUGGCAGUCAAGGUAACCUUUUUGGAUCAUUGUGGGAAUCGUGCAUUUCUUUGCAAUAGGACUUGGACCAAUAGGAUUCCACAUGGGGCAGAGAACCAUGUGGAAUACCCAUUGGUAAGGAUGGGAUAUCAAGUCCAUAAACCAAAGAAGUAUUACAAACCUGGAACCCUAUGGGGCACAUAUUUAGCCUAUACUGAGGGGAUAGUGUUGGGGACCAAUGUACAGUGUAAGAAAGCCUGUGCAGAAAUCAAGUGCAAGAAUAGUAUAUUAGAAAAGAGAACUAAAGUCAAGUCCCCACCCCUGGGCUGCAAGGUGAGGCACUACAGGUGCAUGAUGGUGUUUACCCUGGGAGACAGGGAAACCUUUUUGGAUCACUGUGGGAAAUGGGCAUUUUCUUUGCUAUGGGACUUGAACCAAUAGGAUUCCACAUGGGGCAGACAACCAUGUGGAAUCCCAAUUAGUAAAGGUGGGAUGUCAACUCCUUAUAACAAAGAAGUGGUUCCAAACUGAGAGCCUAUGGGUGAGAAUGAAUAAGAAACAUUGAGAACAUGCUGAGGGGAUAUUGUUAGAAAACAAUGAACAGAGUAAGAAAGACUGUGCAGAAAUCAAAAGUGAAAACAGGAUAUUAGAAAAGAGAGGUAAAGUCAAGACCCCAUUCCUGGGCUGCGAGGUGAGGCACUACAGGUGCAUGAUGGUGUUUACCCUAGAGUACAGGGUUACCUUAUUGGAUGACUGUGGGAAGAGUGAAUUUUCUGUGCCAUAGGGCUGGCUCAAGGAUCAUCACACAUCGGGCAGAGAACAAUGUGGAAUACCCCUGAGUACUGUUGGUAUGUUGAACCCAUAUAACAAAGAAGUGGUUACAAACUGGGAGUCCUACAGGUGGAGAAUGAAUGAGAAAUCUUUACAGGACACUGGGUGUAAAGUGUUGGAUGCUAAUAAGCAUAAUAAUAAAGCCUGUUUUGCUUGAAACCAUACAGGGAAUAGCAAAGAUGCUUGAAAAUUGAGAAGAAAUAAAGACCUUACCUCUGGGCUGUGAAGUGAUGCAUUGUGGGAUGCCUGAUGGACUUUAUCAUGAUAGCAUUCCUUUUUGGAUGACUGUUGGAAUAGUGAAUUUUCUUUCCUAUUAGGCUGAAACCAGUAGCAUUCCACAUGGGACAGACAACCAUGUAGACUCUCCCUUUAUCCUGUUAAAAUGCAAGGCUCUGCCUUCAAGAAGUAAAUUAGUGACUGGUGUUGAAAAAUGGCUGAGAAACCUUUGUACUCUGAGGAUUAAGUGAUUAGGGCAAAAGAACAACAAAAGUUAUUGUUGAGGUAUUACAAUAUGUUAUAUAAAUAGCUAAUUAGAAUCCCUGCAGUCCCAGCUGAGCAGAGAGAUAGGGGAGUCUAGAUGCAGUGUGGCACCUUUUUUCAGAAAUCUCAUGUGGUUUGGGGUUGCAGUGAGUCUUCUUGGCUACAGGGUCUCAACAAGGAGCUACUUCCCUUGAUCUACAAUUCAGUGCUCCUUCACCCUUGCCCUGGAUGGAAAGGAUGCUCUGAUUGGCCAAGUAUUAGAAAGAAACCAGGGGCCCUGCCUCUGGGAAGUAGCUGUCAACCUAUAGUCAUAUAGUGCUGAAAUCCUGGUCACUGACCAAUAGAAAGGAAAGACCUGCCCUCUGACUGAAUAUCAAGACCCUCCUUGGUCUCAGAGAGCAAGAUAGCUUGUUGGGCCCCAUCUCUGGGGUCAGAGUGGGGCCCUCUGGGUGAACUGCUGCUUCCCCUGGCAGACCAGGGCAGCAUGGAACUGACUGGUGGUGACUCAAUGUCUGGUCUUUGCUAUGGGGCCAAUGCCAGGAGGACUGACAUGGAGUUGAGGCACCAUAUUCAUUUUUCUCUGGGUUAAUUGGAUUUUAAUAGAAAGCCCAGAUAAGGAGCAGAGGUGUUGGAGGUGAUUUCUGAUGGCCAUUCGACCUGCAUGCCUUUAGAAUGGAAGCUCUCCAUUCCCAAGAAUGGGUACAUAACCUACCUAUUUUCUUUUCUGUGAUUGGAAUUGCUAACCAACCAGGGUCUGUGCAGAGAAUUUUGUUUCUGUCUGCAUGUGGAGAGGUGGAAAUGUUGUUUAUGCUGUGUGUGUGUGUGCUAGAGAGAGAGAUAGAGAGAGAGAGACAGAGACAGACAGAGAGAGAUAGAGAGACAGAGACAGAGGAGAGGAGAGGAGAGAAGAGGAGAGGAGAGGAGAGAAGAAAGAUGGAAAGGGGGAGAGAGAGAGAAAGAGACAGAGGAAGAGAGAGACAGAGACAGAGAGACAAAGACAGACAGAGAGACAAAGAGAUUCCCAUAGAUAGGCAUAGGGACAGAGCCAGAAAGAAUGAGAGACAGAAAGACAGAGAGAGACAGAGACAGAAAGAGGGGAAAGAGACAGACACAGACAGAAGGAGAGAGAGUUAGAGACAAGAGACAGAGAGAGCAUUAAGUAUAGAGGAAUGAUACCUGAAAACUAAAACUACUCUUUUUAGCCUGAGAUUGUGUGAACAUUAAGUGUAAAAUAAUCUUUAGAAGAAAACAUGCCUUUAAUCCCAGACUAAGAGGGACCCUGGGUACUCUUAAAUACAGGCUUCCCUUUUAUCUGGCUCUUUGAAAAGUGGAUUUUCUUUGGUAGAGGGCUUCCUCAAAGAGCACCAAAUAUGAAAACCGACUGCAGUAUUGUUUGGCUCUUCAUUCAGGCAAAAUGGAAGCCCUGUUUUACAACAAUACCGAAAGAAACCAGGGGCCCUGCAUAUGGAGAUUUAUCUCUACUCUGAGGAUUCUGUAAUAUGGAUAAAAGAGCAAAAGGCAUGGGGUUCUGCCUGAGUCAUUAGCGUGACCAGUAGUAGCACAUAGAGACAGCUGAUUAGGAUAGCUUCUGCCCCCAGCUGAGCAGAAUGGUAGGGGUAUCCCAAAUGCAGUGAUGUUGCACCUCCCCUUGUAUUUUCUCCUUUAAUUUCCAUGGAAUGGAAGAUCAUUACAUGAAGAAAUGGAAAGAAACUCUUGGAUAAUUUGAGGUAGAAUGACUGAGAAACCUUCGUCUCUAUAUUGACGAGUGAGUCAUAGAGGUAGGAGAGUUUUUAGAGGAAGCCUUUAAAUGAUAUAUUAAAGUUAGUAAUAUGGUAGUGAAGGAAGUGUUUAGUAUACCUGCUUCCUGGUUCUUGCUUUAUUUGUGGGCGACAUGAGGUUCAAUAAAGCUUACCCUUUAAAACAGGGUUACUGUUCCCCUUGUUAUUUUUGAAGUGCAUUUUAUUAGCUAGAGAAUUAAUUCAAGGUACAUUAUAUAUGAAUUCAGCCUUUUUUUCAUUUUUUCUUGAACUAGACUUAAUAGAAUACCCUCAGUAUUAAGGAGACAAAUUCUCUCUAUUGACUUACUAUGUUUAUUUUUGUUUGAUAAAUAUUACUAGGGGUGGGAUAUUUCAUUGUUUUUAAUUAUCAAUAUGGUUUUCUGUGAAUAAAUCAGGAAUUACUUUUUCUUCUGUGUCCAGAGAGCUAAGACAGUAUGAAUCCAAAUAAUGUCUGCUCUUUCAGACAUGGUCACUUUUUGCUUAGUUGCGGAUUAAUUUUUUUCUCUUUUAUUCAUGUUCAAGGUGUCUCUAGCAUAAAAUGUAGACAACCAUGCUCAUUUUACUUUUUUAUAUCAUAAUUAAAACAAUAGCUAUCCUCAUUGUGGAAUGGAGCUGAAGGUCCUACAACUGAAUAAUUCUCAGUAGCCAAUUUUUAUUGUCUCCACAGUGGUUGCUUAAGGAAAGGAAAAAACAGCUUUCUAUGUAAGUAAUGAUAACGACCUCUAGUUACCAAAAGAGUAACCUAUUUGUAUGUUAUAGAACAAGUCAAAAGUAGCAAGGAUUCCUCCUUUAAAAUGACAACUGGGUUUCGGUAAUUUUAAAUUUUGGUGCCUAUUCACUCAUAUGGGUUCCCUUUACUUAUAAUCUUUUCUCAUACCUUUUUUUUAUUUUAAUUUUAAUUUUUUUGCUAAAGGAUUGGUUUGUGUUGAUACUUGUAUGGUACCCAUGCUCCUCCUGCCUGAAUCAAGUUAUUAUUAAUAUAUCCUCAGUCUUAGAAGUUGAAACAAAUCAAUAAGCCUUUCAGAUGAGGUAUGAUUGACAGAUUUUUGACCAUAUACUGACUAGUAUUGAAAAGGAAAAAAGAAUGAAGAAUUCCUUAUCUGUAUAUUUACAAAGAACAAUUUAGAUUCUAAAAAGUAAAUUACAAAACAUGGUAUCUUCUCUGUUGAGAGUCAGGUGGAUUUUGGUUCACUUUUUUCCUAAAACUAGUGUCAGUUCAGUGAAUAUAGUAAAUAUGUAAAGGAAGAAGACAUUUUGAGGAAGCCUUUCUCUAUGAUUAUAACUUAAUAUUACUUUAUAAGAAGAAUAUGUAAAGGUCAGGAAUUUUGAGAAUCCCUAAAAGAUUUUUAAUAAAUUUAUAUGAAGAAAAUUAGUCUAAAAUAAAAAUAUAUUUACCACUUAAAGUAAUGUAUAAGUAAAAAGAAGGUAAAUGCUGAAUAAUUUUCAGGACCAUCCCCCCCACAAUAGGUAUUGAACCAUGCCUUUCUCUUUUGGUCUUAGAGUUUGGGCUCUACAAUUUCAUUCUUUUUACAUUCGUUGCCUGACAGGGUCACCCUUUGGGUUGUUGUUGCUUCAGUUUUUCUUUGCUACAAGGCAUGUUCAUGGUGGAUUUCCAGUGGGGACGACCAUACCUGCUCUUUCUACCUUUUUAUAGGUGCUGUCAAUAUACUUUGUAGUAAAGAAUUGGAACAACCCGGGUGCCUUCCCCUAGAGGAAUGGGUGAGUAAAUCAUGUCCUCACGUACGAACGUAACAUAUUAUUGUACAGGAAUAAAGAAUUAAUAUUAGGAAAUGAAGAAACAUUUAAAGACUUCUUUGAAUUUAUGAGUGAAGUAAGCUCAAUCUGGAGCAGAUUAUAUACAAUGACUACAAUUAUCUAAGUGAAAAAAAAAACAAACAUUAAAAAGAAGAUAACUUCUAGCUAACUGUAAUGACCUGUUUUGAUUAUAGAAAGCAGGUAAUGCAUUCUGCUUCCCCUCCUUGGGAUGAGAGAUUUGAAUGUAUGGCCACACAUUAUUACUUACAUUAUUAGCCAGGGUGACCUUGGAGUUGGUAAUGCCUAACCAUUUUUGUUUACGACAAGGCAGAUUUAGUGUGGAACUGCAACGUUCUGAUCAUAUCUUUUCACCUAAUAAGGCAGUUAUAUAUUUUUUAUCAAAGAACUGAAAAUAAACUAGGUGCCCUUCACUCAGGGAAUGACUGAAUAAAAUGUUUUUCAGUACCCAUGUAAUAUAUUAUUAUGUCAUUUGAAAGGACAUGUGAGGAAUUCAGAGAAAUAUGAGAAGGCCUAUAUAAACUGAUGCAACAAGCAAGCAUAUUCAAGAGAAUAAUAUAUAUACAUAUAAAAGUAUAUACAAUAAAUGAAAAGAAUGAAAAAAGGAACCCAAACUCUGCAUAUAGUUAGAAUGACUCUUCUUGGUUCCAAAGACCAGAUAAUGAAAUGUGCCUUCUUCUCUUGGCUGAAAUUUGGGCAACUAUGGGUACAGCAUGUUGCAUUCCCUCUCUGAGUCACCAAAUUAGUGGCUACUGUUUGUUUUUCUUUGUUACAAUGAAUUGUUUGAUGCUAAAACAGAACAAGAUUGACUAUUCCUGCUUCUUCUACCUUGAAGUAGGUGUUGCUCAUAGGCAUGAGCUUGAUGCAUUCCCUGGAUGAAAGAAACUGAAUACAAGUUGCAAUACUAUUGGUACAUACAACAAAACCCCUAUAUAAUGCUGGUGUUAUAAAGGAAGGAUAGGCUAAAACCAACAGUAUAAAGGUAAGAGGGCACCAAGCUAAUAUUUAAGUUCUAUACUACCAUAUUCAGCCAGAUUUUUGCCCAUUUCUGGUGUUAGGAGACAUGGUUUGAUUUGCAAUUUUUAAAAUAAUGAGCUCUUGUAUAAUGGGUUCUGUCCUUGUUGCAAUCAUCAGAUUGCCUUUCAGGGCCAGAGAAGGGCCCUUUUCUGGCUAGGAGAACUUCCUGUUCCUCCCUCUGAUCCCCUGCCACUCAUACCCCUAGCCUAAGAAAUCUUGCUGCCUUUGCAGCCACCUGGAAAGUCACACAUGCUGGUGUCACAAUAUUCCCAAAGAAGGGCAAGAAUCAAGUCUCUAAUUGCAGAGGCUUGGUUACGGGAGCCUUGGGUCACAUUCCAGCCAGUGCCUUUUCAAGCACAGCCUCUGAACAAAUUGGAAAGUCCUUCCAAAAAAGAGCUCAACCAGGGAAGAGUGAGCAAAGAGGAGGAGGGAAGAGGGAGAAAGGGAGAUCUCCAGCUGUCAGCAGUCAGACAGCAGUGGCAAGCUUGGUGCCGCUGGAGAGAUUUUUUUUUUAAUCUCCCUACAAAGUGAUCCCCUUCCAUUAUGCUGAAAUCUAAGAAAAGCCCUUUGCCCAUGGACUUUCCUUUCUAUUAUGGCCCAGCUUUGCCCCUCACACCUCCUAAAUGCUGGAACAUAUCACAGAAUAUUCUGAAAUAUGUCCCUUAUUAUAAAAUCUGAGACUCUCAGGCCAGACUCUUGUGCAGUGCCAUGGGUCUGUUUUACAAGAAGCAUCUUACAAAAUUUCCCACAGCAAUUCUCUAAAGACCCACUUCUAAGUUUAUAUAAGGGUUAUAACAUUUGUUGGGAAUACCCACAAUAUACUUGAAGUGUUUAAGUAAAGACUUAGAUAUGGGAAGGACUUUUGAAAUGAUCUUAUCCGUCCUCCCACUCUAUCAUAUUGCUGAGGGAUGGGUGGAUGGAGGGGGAGCUUCUCUGAGCCUCUGUUUGAAUGCUUAGUGUCAGAAAGCUCACACUCCCUUCUGAGGCUUACUGAUCCAUUGCAGGACAAGAUCAUUGUUGCUUCUUGUACUAGUCAACAAUUUUUCUCCCUGUGACUUCCACAGAAUGGCACACAGUUACACGGCAUAAUCUUCCCCAAAAUCAUUUUCUCUCCAUUGUUCAUUCCUCUCUAGCUACCAAGGAAGGAAUUAAUCCCAAAGGGGAAUACAGUUCAGCAAUGUCAAAAAUUCUAAAGGCUGAAGUGUUUAUGACUUCCCUAAGGUCUAGAAGAAAGCAUUUUACUUUUAGGACCUUAACCAAAGAAAUACUAACCCAGCCUUAAAAAAUAAUAACAAUAAGUACCAACCCAAGAGAACUAUGUUUCUAGCCCAAUACUAGACUACAUUCACCCUGGGAGCUACAAAGACAUAUAAAGCACAUUCCCGGCCCUCAACACAACCUCAAGCUCACCAUUUGGCAAGGGAGCCCAGGCUCAAACAUAGAUUAAGCUGAGUAACAAUAUAAGACAACAACAGAAGAACACUCACUGGACAAUAUAUGAUGUGAGUGCCAACUAAACAAUACAGUACAAACAAAUGCUGUUUGAGUUCACAAGAGGGAGAGGUCCCCUGAAACUGUAGAAUCAGGGAAGGCUUCAUGGAGAAUGUUGGGCUUAAGUUGAGCCUUUGAAAGAUGACAGGGUUCAAGUCUCAUCUCCUCUGUGAAGCUCAAUUCAAAUGUCCCUCUUCAGAAGUCUCACUGUGGUGUGGAGAAGGUGACUGGGAAUCCUUGAAGUCUGUGCUUCGGGGGUAGGGGAACAAGCUUUGCCAGGACGGGCCAAGGAUGGACCGUUGCAUGAGGAUCAGCCAAGCUAAGUUCAUAAAGACUUAGGGCCAGGUCGGCCUCAUGGAGAUGAAAGUUUUUGGAAACAAUACCCCUCAAAGAACAUCGGCUAAGCCACAGAGGGAAUUAAAAUCUGUCUCAGUGGAAGGAGUUCCCACACCAGUAAAACUACAGAUCCUUGAAGUGUUGAAUCAUUUGAAAGAUGGGAGAUGGGGUUGGAAAAGGUAGUAUGGCACUAGAAUGUAGCCACCAGCCUAAGGAAUCUGGAAUUGAUGCUAUUAGGAACAGGGAACCCCUGGAAAGUCUUUGAACAGGGAAGUGACAUAACAAAUGAAAUCAGUAGUCUAGUGACAGCUCUGGCAUAAUCCCUCCCUCUCCCUGAGCAACCGACUCUUUAACAGGCUUCACUCAGCCAUCCUAAGAGGGAGUUCAGCCUACAGUGUCUGUGGCUCCAUAACCCCUUCAGGAGCAUACCUGGAGCCACUCGGAGCCAAUGCUCCGUUAGGCACAAUGGUUUCUAGGAGCCAAUGCCCCAUUAAGCACAAUCGUUUAUAGGAGCCAAUGCCCCAUUAAGUACAAUGGUUUCCAGGAGCCAAUGCUCCAUUGAGGAAAAUGGUCUUGGGCCAAAAAAUAGGGUGUGGCUCUCUGGAGAGACCACAUUGCUCCAUGGUUCUUAUUAUUUUCCCUGCCUGGCAGCUCUCUGAGCCCAGAGUAUCAGUUAUUCCAAAGCUGCUCACACAGUUUGGACAAAAUGAUCUCUCUCUGUUUUUUCCUCCCUAGAAAUGCCAGGAAAUCAAAUGCUUUAGAUCAAGGUACAUGUAUUAUUUGCAAGCCUUGGGAUGCUUGCUUCUACAAUGUAGCUAAUUAGUAGAACAGGAGCUCAGGCCAGUUUGCCCUCAAGGCCUCAGUUUCACCAGCUGCAAAUUUACAAAGUAGGACCAGAAUAUCUCUAAGGUCCCUUCAAAAGAAUCUUGGACUUGAAAUCAGCAGACUGAGUUCAAAUCUCAUCUUUGCCUCUCUUGUGAUUUUAGGCAAGUACUUCCCAAGAUGAAUUCUCCAUCUGUUGUGAGAAGGAGGACUGGAUAGUCUUUUAAGAACAACAGAAAGUUCUCUAACUCUGAGGUGUGAUGACCCUAUUUCAGGCCAUAUUCUCCUGAGGGGGUACAGAAAUCAUCCCUCAUAUUGUCAGGGUAGAAAUCAUCUGCUAAGUUUUUGUAGGAUUGUAGGGAUGCUUCCCCAAAUCCCCCUUAUAUUUCUUGUCCUCCUUUUGAUCUUCUCUCAAGACCCCAGAUGAGCUAAGGCUAUGUACACUAGGUACUGAUUAACACAACGAAGGGGUUUUACAGCAGAGUAUUUGACCGACCUUUGUAACCAUCUUUGAAGAAUAUUCUUCCAAUUGGGCUUCUGCUUCCAUUUCCGCUUCCGCUUCUUUUUCCUCUUUCUUUUUCUUUUUCUUUUACGCAUCCUGAUCUGGAUGAUCUGGUCUCUCUCACAUUGUUGACUUGCUUCUGGUCCUG